This 253-nucleotide ribosomal RNA is filed under the name uncultured bacterium. RNAcentral's name for it is "partial 16S ribosomal RNA". It matches the Rfam family "Bacterial small subunit ribosomal RNA", at positions 524 to 776 of the family's 1533-position model. The record is from RNAcentral.
UACGUAGGGUGCGAGCGUUGUCCGGAUUUAUUGGGCGUAAAGGGUGCGUAGGUGGCGCGUUAAGUCCGUUGUGAAAUCCCUGGGCUCAACCCAGGAAAUGCUUCGGAUACUGGCGUGCUUGAGGCUAGUAGGGGUCACUGGAACUGACGGUGGAGCGGUGAAAUGCGUAGAUAUCGUCAGGAACGCCAAUGGUGAAGACAGGUGACUGGGCUAGAUCUGACACUGAGGCACGAAAGCGUGGGGAGCGAACGGG